UUGUGUGUGUGUGUGUGUGUGUGAUGUUAUUUCGGCGUAGGCCAGAUAUGAUGUUCCUUUUUUAUUUUUCUUCCCAUUGGCUAAAAGCUUGUGUGUGGCUGAUGAUUUCCUCAUUGACUUCCUCCUCCUUUUCAAAUAUUUGGUUCUCUUGCCUUGCUUUUUGUCAUAUUAGGCCAGGGAACGGCAAAGAAAAGAAGAGCAGGAACGUCUAGAG
Molecule: unclassified non-coding RNA, 214 nt
Filed under: Hevea brasiliensis (rubber tree)
Lineage: Eukaryota; Viridiplantae; Streptophyta; Magnoliopsida; Malpighiales; Euphorbiaceae
Source: RNAcentral